This 701-nucleotide ribosomal RNA is filed under the name uncultured bacterium. RNAcentral describes it as "bacterial SSU rRNA". It matches the Rfam family "Bacterial small subunit ribosomal RNA", at positions 72 to 768 of the family's 1533-position model. The record is from RNAcentral.
AACUUAGCUUGCUAAGUUUGAUGGCGACCGGCGCACGGGUGAGUAACACGUAUCCAACCUGCCGAUGACUCGGGGAUAGCCUUUCGAAAGAAAGAUUAAUACCCGAUGGCAUAAUUCUUCCGCAUGGUAGAAUUAUUAAAGAAUUUCGGUCAUCGAUGGGGAUGCGUUCCAUUAGGUUGUUGGCGGGGUAACGGCCCACCAAGCCUUCGAUGGAUAGGGGUUCUGAGAGGAAGGUCCCCCACAUUGGAACUGAGACACGGUCCAAACUCCUACGGGAGGCAGCAGUGAGGAAUAUUGGUCAAUGGACGAGAGUCUGAACCAGCCAAGUAGCGUGAAGGAUGACUGCCCUAUGGGUUGUAAACUUCUUUUAUACGGGAAUAAAGUGAGGCACGUGUGCCUUUUUGUAUGUACCGUAUGAAUAAGGAUCGGCUAACUCCGUGCCAGCAGCCGCGGUAAUACGGAGGAUCCGAGCGUUAUCCGGAUUUAUUGGGUUUAAAGGGAGCGUAGGCGGACGCUUAAGUCAGUUGUGAAAGUUUGCGGCUCAACCGUAAAAUUGCAGUUGAUACUGGGUGUCUUGAGUACAGUAGAGGCAGGCGGAAUUCGUGGUGUAGCGGUGAAAUGCUUAGAUAUCACGAAGAACUCCGAUUGCGAAGGCAGCUUGCUGGACUGUAACUGACGCUGAUGCUCGAAAGUGUGGGUAU